This is an RNA transcript of Tarenaya hassleriana, 1018 nucleotides long. It is a transcript of the gene named death-associated inhibitor of apoptosis 1-like, with no coding region annotated. The record is from RefSeq and is a predicted model, not a curated record. The transcript is spliced from 2 exons. NCBI's taxonomy places the organism in Eukaryota, Viridiplantae, Streptophyta, Magnoliopsida, Brassicales, Cleomaceae.
UCUAUAACCAUAUCAUUCUAUCUAUACCCUCUCUCUGUAUAUAUACACAGUAUAAUCUCAUCCGAGGUUCUGCAGACGAGUCGUGAAUGAGCGAACUCGGCAUCCGAACGAGUCAGGGACCGCCGGAGGGAUCCCGGUCGACGACGACGACGUUCCUGGAUUUGAUCGGAGGCCAGAUGGACGGUCUUGAUCGACCGAUGAGGAGGAAACGUUCUCUGAAGGAACGGCUACGAUUCAAAGGCAUCGGAUGCUGUGGGCCCACCUGGGGUCUCCGAACAACUAACAACACCACUCUCAGCGCCAGAGAUGACGACGACGAUGACGAAGAUGAACCGGGUCAGACCCGAGUCGUAACUGGGUCGGAUUCUUCCGGGUCGGGUAUGAACCUUGAGACGGCGUUAGCGACGGAGAGACACUACCGUGCGAGAGAGACGGAGGAGGGGCAGACGCCGAUGACGCCGUUAAGGGUGUCGUUAAUGAGACUGCUGGAGGAAACGGCGGAGAGAGUUAACGGGAGGGAGACAGAGACGGAGAUAUUAACGGCGUCAAUGGGGACGAGUAAUGAUUCGGUGUGCUGCGUGUGCAUGGGAAGGGAGAAAGGAGCGGCGUUUAUCCCAUGUGGCCACACUUUUUGCAGAGUGUGUUCCAGGGAGCUGUGGUUGAACCGAGGGACGUGUCCGCUAUGCAACCGUCCGAUCAUCGAGAUCCUCGACAUUUAUUGAACGAUCGGACGGUCGAAAUAAUGCGGUGCACGUGAUCAUGAGGGGGUGACGCCCUUGGCAGUCAUGAGGCCUAAGUCGGCGUUUGGCAACGCCAUGACUACCUGAAACGCUGCGUUAGAUAUGCUAUGAGCGUCCCGACGAACGCCAAACGCCACGACCAAUAAGACGAUAAAAAUGACGCUGUCGAAGCUUCUAGGUGUGAGAGGGCCAUUUUCCUUUGGCAUUUCUCCACUCCAAUUCAUUUUUGUUUUUCUUUCUCUUAACCAAUUUCGAAAUACGCAAAUUUUAUAAAUUAA